UGUGCUGAUGCGAGUGCUGUCACAGCUGUUAUGGCCUGCAGCGCAACAGUUUAGCUGGUGGUUAAUACCCCUAAACCUGCGGAGUCACCGGUCGGCGUUCUGUAUGCACGCGACAUUGCUCUCGGUCCGUGUGAGCGAAUCGUUUGCUGUGUCUCGAUCUGGCCUGUGGCUGAUUAUGUGUGUGCGCUGUGGAACCGUGGGGUGAUCUGCUGCACUGCUGCCUCGGCGGGGGUUUGAACGGAGGCUCGGUGUGUCUUUUUCGUGCCUCAGCUUUGGGUGUCGCUCUCUCUCCCCCUGUGGGAUUGCCCUCUGCCUGGUCGGCCCAGUUCCGGCUCCGUCUUGGCUCUAAGCGGGCUUGCCGGUUUUAGCAUUUCUUUGUUGGUUGGGUGUAGUUAUUGUAUAUUUAGUUAUACAUUUGGCAUUUUGUUUGAUUUGCACGUUUUGAUUCAUUUUUAGUGUGUUUUGCUUUAUCCUUUUAGCCACUGUAUUUUAAAUAGUAUAUUGUAUUUUAAAUUAUU
Molecule: long non-coding RNA, 518 nt
Organism: Micropterus dolomieu (smallmouth bass)
Lineage: Eukaryota; Metazoa; Chordata; Actinopteri; Centrarchiformes; Centrarchidae
Exons: 3
Source: RefSeq, a predicted model, not a curated record